UUUGAGCCGUUGGAUCUCAUCCAGCUGUUGGGAUUUUAAAGGAGAACUCGCGGGUAAAAAUAGCCCAUGGGUCGGGUAAAAUAGUUUUCGGGUCAUACCAUUUUACACAUGCGGAUCCCUCCUAUUGCUUCCACGGUACGCCUCCUCCCCCAUUUCUCAAAAAUUGAACCCAUAGAGAGAACGAGAAAAGGAAUCAGCGACGACGAUCGAUCGACUGGAGAAGAAGAAAAACAAACACGAACAAGAUCGACGAAUAAGAGCGACGAAGAAGAAGAGGACAAUGUCGACGAAGAGAACGAUUGAAGGGCUUGAUCACAGAGGAUUAGGGCUCGAUUACAAAAGAUUAUGGCUCGAUUACUGCUCGAUUUGAAGGUCUCUCUCUCUCUCUCUCUGAAUCUGUUCCAAUCUGGUUUUUCUUUGCUCAUGUUUAGCGAGGUUUAGCAAAAUGUGGUAAAACCAUCCGUUAACUAGCGUGGAAAUUGUGGUUUCACUUGCUUGUGUCUUUGACAAUGCAUAAAAUGAUGGGGUGUUGAAGUUACGAGUAGAUGAAAAUUUGGAAGUUAUAAGUGAAAGUUGACGGUAAGCCCAACUGUUGAUGCAUUAUUAUUGAUGUAUGUUCUUGAUAUGUAGAUGCCUCUUCAUUUUGAUAUCUCAUCCCUGGUUUACAGCUUUCUUGAAAGGAAAUGUGCUAAAGAUCAAGUCAAUGCUAAAUCCUUUGUUGAUAAGAUUGUUGUUGAUAGUCCAAUCCUUCCACUCUUUGUGUUCUUGCCGUCCAUGAGCCAGUUUAAUUUGGAAUGAAAUUGUGCCUGUUAAAGUAGUUUAGUACCUUCAAUAUGGUCUAUAAAUGGAGGGUUAAUUGGGUAUUGUGGCCGCAAAGGCGUGUACGGUAGAGGAAUGAGGAAAGCAUUGGGCAUUGGCAGUAUGGUACCAGUAAGAAGCUUGAAAUUCAUUGAUUGCCUAACUGUGAGUGGUUUAGUUGGAAAGCGAUGGAAGAAAACAAUACACGAUAUAUAGUUUGUUUCGACAACUCUGGUCACAACAAGGUGCUUGUAAGCUGGUUUGGACAUCAAGUUAUAAAAAUAAAAUAAAAUAACAGAAAAGAAAAGAAAAAAAACCAUGGGUCACAAUGUGCCGUUUAUGAUGAUUAGGUUUUCCAAGACACAGCAUUGACGAGGACACAGUUUGAACUUUUGAGAAAGAGAGUAUUUUAUUUGUAGUUUCUUUUAUUUUGUUUUCUUGUGGGAAUGUAGUGCGUGGGCAACUGCUACUGGUUGUUGCAUUAUGUUUAUUGUUUGAUGCAAAAAUGGAAAAGAUGUGGGAAUGAUUUGCAUUAGAAUGUGAAGUUUGACUUUCUAUGUUUCUAGAAUUUGAAGUUUUGAUUUUAAGCUUAAGCAGGUGCAUUUGACGCUAAAUCUUGAAUGGCCUUCCAUCUUG
Molecule: long non-coding RNA, 1434 nt
Organism: Rhododendron vialii
Lineage: Eukaryota; Viridiplantae; Streptophyta; Magnoliopsida; Ericales; Ericaceae
Exons: 3
Source: RefSeq, a predicted model, not a curated record